Molecule: transfer RNA, 72 nt
Filed under: Dipodomys ordii (Ord's kangaroo rat)
Lineage: Eukaryota; Metazoa; Chordata; Mammalia; Rodentia; Heteromyidae
Rfam family: tRNA
About the family: Transfer RNA (tRNA) molecules are approximately 80 nucleotides in length.
Source: Rfam by way of RNAcentral
GUAAGUAUAGCUCAACUGGUAGAGCACCUGUCUGGUGAGCACAAGUCCCUGAGUUCAAACCCCAAUAUUAUG